This 497-nucleotide ribosomal RNA is filed under the name uncultured bacterium. RNAcentral describes it as "partial 16S ribosomal RNA". It matches the Rfam family "Bacterial small subunit ribosomal RNA", at positions 28 to 507 of the family's 1533-position model. The record is from RNAcentral.
GACGAACGCUGGCGGCGUGCCUAAUACAUGCAAGUUGAGCGCUGAAGGUUGGUACUUGUACCAACUGGAUGAGCAGCGAACGGGUGAGUAACGCGUGGGGAAUCUGCCUUUGAGCGGGGGACAACAUUUGGAAACGAAUGCUAAUACCGCAUAAAAACUUUAAACACAAGUUUUAAGUUUGAAAGAUGCAAUUGCAUCACUCAAAGAUGAUCCCGCGUUGUAUUAGCUAGUUGGUGAGGUAAAGGCUCACCAAGGCGAUGAUACAUAGCCGAACUGAGAGGGUGAUCGGCCCCAAUGGGAAUGAGACACGGCCCAAACUCCUACGGGAGGCAGCAGUAGGGAAUCUUCGGCAAUGGACGAAAGUCUGACCGAGCAACGCCGCAGGAGUGAAGAAGGUUUUCGGAUCGUAAAACUCUGUUGGUAGAGAAGAACGUUGGUGAGAGUGGAAAGCUCAUCAAGUGACGGUAACUACCCAGAAAGGGACGGCUAACUACGUG